UGCCAUAUAAUUCAAAGGUGAGAAUGCGCAACUUAUAAUUGCGACAUCGUGGUUCGAGUCCACGUAUGGCAACCA
This 75-nucleotide transfer RNA is filed under the name Bacteriophage sp. RNAcentral describes it as "tRNA-Ile". It matches the Rfam family "tRNA". Rfam says of the family: Transfer RNA (tRNA) molecules are approximately 80 nucleotides in length. The record is from RNAcentral.